RNAcentral lists this long non-coding RNA (359 nucleotides) under Marmota monax (woodchuck). The record is from RNAcentral. Lineage: Eukaryota; Metazoa; Chordata; Mammalia; Rodentia; Sciuridae.
CUAAAAUACAAUUCAUUUAAUAAAUAAAACAUUUAUCUUACAUAAAAGUAUAGGAGAUAGAAAUUAUAACCAGGAACUAUAGAGACAGUACCGUAAGGGAAAGAUGAAAGAAUAAUUUUAUAGUAUAAAAAAGCAAAGACUAAAACUUUGACCUUUUGCAUAAUGAUUUAACCAGAAAACGCUUGACAAAAAAGAAUUUAAGCCAAACACCCCGAAACCAGACGAGCUACUUAUGAGCAGCUAAUAAGAGCCCAUCCGUCUAUGUUGCAAAAUAGUGGAAGGAGGUGAAAAGCCUACCAAGCCUGGUGAUAGCUAGUUUCCAGAUUAGAAUUUCAGUUCUACUUUAAAUUUACCUAAAG